RNAcentral lists this ribosomal RNA (17 nucleotides) under Quercus environmental sample. RNAcentral's name for it is "partial 18S ribosomal RNA". Lineage: Eukaryota; Viridiplantae; Streptophyta; Magnoliopsida; Fagales; Fagaceae. The record is from RNAcentral.
CUGUCGGAGGAUCAUUG